AUGGCUUAUUCAGACCCCCUCUCCCGGAGCCCCCAGGAAGCCUCGAGCGCAGCCCUCAGACCCAGAAUCGUCGCAGGCCAUCUCUCUGCACACCUGGGUCCAUCCUCACGUCCUCAUGUACCUCCCUGCCCUUCUGGGAGCUUUACAGAGAUGAGGGUCUCUGCCCAGCAGACGUGGGUGGCAAAUAAGGGGCAAGUAACCUUGGAUAACAUGGCUGUGGACGUCAUCCAGGAGGUAUGGGUGCUGCAGGGCCCUGGCCAGAGGACCCUAUACCACGAUGGGAUGCUGGAGACCUUAGGGCAUCUGGUCCCUGUGUUGACUUACACCUGGCAGGGGUCUUGGCAGAGUAGCUGUGUGAGGUCUGUGAACCCUAGGAGGGUUCCUCUUAUUCCAGACCCUCACGGCCUGAUCUCUCACUUGGACAGGGCCUUGGAUACCCAACCCAGCUCUCCUUGCCCCACUGGAACUUCUAGUGGAGCCAUGGAUAGUGGACAGAGGACUCUCCCAGGAUUCCUGCCCAGGGAUGUAAGAAAUUGGAGGCUGAAUACUGAGCUGGUGGCAAAGAGCCGUGGAAGGCGGGGCUUCUGCGUGGUUAUCAACAGUAGACAAGCAUCGGGACUUUCACGUGGGGAACCCACUCCCAUCGACUGUUGACCUUAGUGACUCUUGGACUCUUGGCUGGAGGAGACGAAUUAAUUCUAGGAUUUGAGAGCGUAAGGUAACUGUGAGCUAGCUAAUUUGUGCUAGUUAUUUUACUAUUGGUGACCCUACAAACGAGUUCAUAAAAUGCCCUAGGUGUUCCAGUUAACGCCUCCUGGACUCCCUCUCCCUUUACCUUUCAUUCUCAUCUGACUAUGAGGAAGUGGAACCAGCUGGAGCCCUUCAUGCGGCAUGGGGUGGCCACACUUUGGGCGUCUCCCAGAGGAAGGGCAUGUCCAUAGAGAACCUAGAUUCUCCUACUCCUCUGGUCUUUUCCCACUCAGAAAGCUCAGUAACAGCUCAGAUCCCCUAAUAGGGACAUCCAAGACGGCUGUCCAGCCCAGCCUUUGCCACCUCGUAGCACAGAGCAUAAGGUACCAUCCAGCAAGCUGGGGUAGCUGAAGUAGGAGAGGGCCUGGGUAGGAGGGAAGCCAAUCACUACACACCUGUAACCAUUCCCAGCCACCCUGGGUGAGCAGCUCCGCACGGAGAGGCCUCCUCUAUGGCCCCCCCCCCCUUUUCUGGGUAUUACAGGCUGGACUGCAGCCCAUGACGCAGAACCUUGAAUACACUGUCUGUUGGCUCUACUUUUAAUUAAAAUACUAACAUGUCCACAAUCUGACGGCUGAUCACCACCCCCUUGGCUACUGCGUUGGUUCAUGGGUCACCCCGGCCUUUCCCUCCCGGGCUCGGUCUGCUCUCUACGGAAGCCGGAGAGCUCUGGCGAGGCCAGAGCCCAGGUCUGCUCGGCCCACCUCGCUCAGGGCCGGAGCAGUGACGGCUCCCUGCAGUCGGACACUCUGUGACCACCGUGCUGUUCCCUCAGCUGACAGUCGCAACUAAGGUGAAGUGAACGGGCACGGCGAGCACGGAGCAAGGAGAAGGCGGCGGGGGCGCGGGAAGCCAGGGCCUGGGCAGGGGUGGGAGAGAGGCCUCGGUCCAGGACUCAGUUCGACUCGGUAACAAGCCACGUGGCUUCAUACGUGAGGGGAAGCUCAAAGUCAGGCUCCUCAUCCGAAAACGGGGCAUCGUAACAGCCACUUCCUUACAAUCUCGCAACUGUUAAGCGACGGAGAGCGCUCGGACUCCCCCACGUUCCUCCUGCUCAGCGCGGCGACGCGAGCCGCCAUCUUACGGACGGCGGGCUGAUGCUCGCGAGCCGCGAUCACCCAGGCGCCCCACGUCGGCCAGCGGCGGCGGGGGAGCGCGGUCCGCCGCUGGGACAGAGCCGCCCGCCCUGCCGCGGCUUCGAACACGGCGACCCGGGUCAGCGCGUCGGAGGGCGCGUUGGAGGCGGCGCAGCCCCAGCA
This 2009-nucleotide long non-coding RNA is filed under the name Camelus dromedarius (Arabian camel). RNAcentral describes it as "lncRNA (ENSCDRG00005009634.1)". Lineage: Eukaryota; Metazoa; Chordata; Mammalia; Artiodactyla; Camelidae. The record is from RNAcentral.